UACGGGGGGUGCGAGCGUUGUCCGGAAUCACUGGGCGUAAAGGGCGCGUAGGUGGUUUGAUAAGGGUGUGGUGAAAGCCCGGGGCUCAACCCCGGGUCUGCCGUGCCGACUGUCAAACUCGAGGGCUGUAGAGGCAGACGGAAUUCCGGGUGUAGCGGUGGAAUGCGUAGAGAUCCGGAGGAAGACCGGUGGCGAAGGCGGUCUGCUGGGCAGUUUCUGACACUGAUGCGCGACAGCGUGGGGAGCAAACGGG
This 253-nucleotide ribosomal RNA is filed under the name uncultured bacterium. Its description in RNAcentral is "partial 16S ribosomal RNA". It matches the Rfam family "Bacterial small subunit ribosomal RNA", at positions 524 to 776 of the family's 1533-position model. The record is from RNAcentral.